CUUUUUUGUUGUUGUUGUUGUUAUUUCUUGGGCCGCUCCCGCGGCAUAUGGAGGUUCCCAGGCUAGGGGUUAAAUCGGAGCUGUAGCCACCGGCCUACGCCAGAGCCACAGCAACGCGGGAUCCGAGCCGCGUCUGCAACCUACACCACAGCUCACGGCAACGCCGGAUCGUUAACCCACUGAGCAAGGGCAGGGACCGACCCCGCAACCUCAUGGUUCCUAGUCGGAUUCGUUAACCACUGCGCCACGACGGGAACUCCUAUGUGGUACUUCUGAUAUUGACACUACUAAUACUAAUAUGCGUGCUGUUGGAAGUAGUUUUUGGGAAAAAUACAUUUAAAAUCUAAUGUAACUGUUCUGGAGUUCCCACUGUGGCUCAGCAGUAACCAACCCGACUAGUAUCCAUGAGGACUUGGGUUUGAUCCCUGCCCCUGCUCAGUGGGUUGAGGAUCUUGAGUUGCUGUGAGGUAUGGCAUAGGCCGGCAGCUGUAGCUCUGAUUCAACCCCUAGCCUGGGAACUUCUACAUGCUGCAAGUGCAGCCCUAAAAAGACAAAAAAAAAAAAAAAAANAGAUAAUAACAAAAAUCAAAGUAGGUUCUUAUAGGGAUGGACCACCAAAACAUACUUAUUAUUUUGGAAGCUAAGCACAUGGAUUUUGGAUUCAAAGAGCUGCAGCUCCAAUUUACUUAUAAUGUGAGUUUGGACAACUUCCUAAAGCUUCAGUUUCUUCAUCUGUGGAAUGGCAAUAACAAAUAUACCUUAUCCAUUGUGCUGUUUGAAGAGUUAAUUAGAUAAAACAUGCAAUGUACUUAGCUGAUCACCAGUUUGGGCUCAAGAAUAGAAAUGUGCCACUCUCAUCUGAACAUUUACUUGAUCUAGAAGUAGGAUCUUAGGCACAAUAAAUAAGCUUCUCUCAGAUGGCCUGUAUCUUGAAUUUUAUCUGGGAAUUUUACAAAAAGUAGAUUUUUGUCUCAAUACUGAAUGUGUAGUUUUAAAACUGGACAAAAGCCCCAAGCAGUAAAAUAGAAUUUAUACAGACAAAACAUGCUUAGUUGAAUAUUUGAACAAAUUUGAAGUUCUAUGAAGACUAAGUGUGUCCUAACAAAACUAUUGGGCAGUUUGUGACAAGUAGAAUAGGCAGUUGAAUUCACAGCUGUCUUAGAAGACUUGUUUCCUUAGAGCCAUUAUUAAUGAGAACCAGUUUCAGGAGGGAAAAAAAGAAGGUUUUGAAAAUGAUGUAAAUUAUACAUCCAAGCUGCACUAUGGCAGAAAGCCAUGACUGUCGGUGUCUUCGGUCUCUGAGAACAGUGGGCAUCUGAUAAUCUGUGCUGGUUUUUCUAUUUCUAAUUCAGUGAGAGAUGUGGGAGCUGUGCUGUGUGUUUCAAUAAAACAGUAUGUAUCAGUAGUCACUUAGUUUAAAAGAAUCCUCUUUAUUUUCUUACAAAUCAUUUCUUAAUAUAAAACCACCAGUGUAGCACUUUAAAUAUAUUGCAAUUUUACUUGUCAAUUCUAUUACAAUAAAGCUAAAAUUAAAAAAAAAAAAUUUCUCCCCAUCCAAAAAAAAAAGAAAGAAAAGAAAAAAACUCACUGAAAAUACUUGCAAGAAAAAGUCCAGAUCCACGUCUUGGAGAUGUUUUGCGUCUAUCUUAGAUACUAAACAACAACCCAAAGGCACACCCGUCUGUCUGCUGCCCCACCCACCACUCUGGAUGUGAUUCCAUCAAAGCAGAAAUAAAUCCCUAAAAAUGUUUUUCUUUUUCUAUUGAACGUCUCUGAAGAGGUACUUGUGUCCCCCAUUCACAGAAAUCUAGACGGCACUGACGUGAUAGGGCCCUGUGACUGGCAGGAGAGCCAGAGUUCUGAAUCUUUCUGUGCUGUGCUAAAAGCGGCCUGGGAUCUCAUGGAAAACAGCACUUCUAGUGAAAUCACUUAGUAGCAAUCAUUAUUUCAUGCUAAUAGGGUCCUGACUCUCACCAUAUUGUAAAAUACUAAUGACAAGUUAUCAACUUUAAAGUGCUUAAUUAAACUUACUUAUCAGACUUGUAAAACAGUUGCCCUGGGGAAAUAAGGGCUUUGAAAUGAUCACAUAGCUGGGCAUCCGAAGAAAAAGCUCUGUGAGUUUUACCAAGUCUUUCUCAGCAGACUUCUCUCUAUAAAUGUCAUUUCACCAUCACUCACAUACAUUGCUAUUAGAAUCAUCACUCUUUUCCUUGAAAUACAGCACAAAGAGCAGGGUGUCUCGUCUUCAUUAUCAAAUAAGCUUCAAAGCUGUGCUUUACCUAGUAAUUUGGAAGAACGGCUGAUAAACAGUGAUUUAAACCAAGGAAUGAUAUGGUUUAACGUUUCUGAAGACUGUAAAGGGAAAGAAUUGAGGCGAGGGAGGUUUAUGGAAGAGGAGACGGGGAAGAGGCAAGCACAGCAUGUUUGCAGAGGAGACAGGACAGCAGACCUCCGCCCCACGCCAGCUGCAGCUCCCUGGGGUCGCGGCAGAGAAGACAGCGACCACCUCACGCAGUCACAUGUGCACAGUGGGACCGUGUGCUCAGGGGUCCUGAACAAGCCUGGGAAGCCGCAGAACCACGUGCACUGAGGCAUCUGGAGCACGCUCCCAACAACUGUCUUUGUGCCACUUAUUCUCCCAACAGGAACACAUAAGCCUGGUUUUCGACAGCAUUCAAGUUUCUAUCCAGAGGAGUACUUGGCAUAAGAUGGGAUUGGUCAAGCCAAGACCUGCCUGCUUUGGGAGCCAGAUCAUCACUCCAUGGAGCCAGGACAUGGAGCUUUGCUUUUCUCUCGAGGAGAUAAAGGGUAGACUAAGACCUCACUUUGUCUCCUUCCAUGAAGCUGUUUGCUCCAAAGGCACAAACAAUGUGAAAUAAAGAAUAUGAAGAAUCAGCAGGCCAUGUGAAUAACCUUGCUCCUAGUUUUCUGAGGACAGUUUCAAACUAGUGAUACUUUUUCGCCUAUAGGACAGAUCAUGAAGCACCACCAUCCAAAAGGCCUUUUCCUAUGGGUGAGUCCUCAUUGCAAACAUGUGGAAAAUCAGAUGCAAGGUAGAGUACGAAGACGCCUAGUUCAUCCAAGUCUCUGGGCCCAUAUGUUGGGCUUGCUUUCUCCUGCUCUCGUAUGUUCUCGCCUUUAUUAAACUAUGCUUGCUGCAGACUGACAAGUGAGUUCUAAUGCUCAUCUUGUAAGUGGUAUUACUUUGGUUUCUUUUUUACUUCAUCCGUGUAAAAUUAUUUGUACUCAACUGCAAACACUGGCUAAAAUCAGUGUACUGAACCAGUGCAGGUAUUAGUUUUAUAAUUUCCCACUUGAAGUGAUUCUGAUUCUAGAAUAAAGUGUAUGGAAUUCAACUCCAUGACUCUCCUCCAGAAGCGAUUUUCUUUCAAAAUAGCAAAGCCCUCCCAAGCUAUUUCACGAUCUUCUCUUUCGAAGUACAGUUAGUACAGCAAGAGUGCUCUGUCACAGAGGUUUUGCAUCUUUUGUGAAAUUAGAGUGGAAUGGUGAUUUAAUUUAUUCUUCCUACACUAUCUCACAGCCUAGAAUUAAGAGUAGUCUGAGGGCCAGCCAAUCUUCCACUUGGCCUCUGGGCCCCUCGCUGCAGCCACUGAAAACUGUACAACAUGGGUCUCUACACACAGGGGAUUAUUUAAAACUCAUUUCCAAGCUAAUUUUUCCUAAACAUGAAAUUGGCUGCUCAGCUAAUGACAACAUUAAAGAAAAAACAUAUGUGAUUAUUGCAUCCCCCCAGAUGUCUAUCAUCAUUCUUCAGCUUCUGAUUUCUCCACUAGAUCUGCCACUUACUCUGCAAGAUUUUAACUAAUUUCUUAUUUCGGGUAGACAUUUUUCAUCCAAUUCUUUACUGCCAAGUUCUAAGCUUCUUAUACCUAUUGUUCUCCAAAUUAAACUUUAUUUCCAGGAGGAGUGUAAUUGUGUAUAAAGGGGCAAUUUACAACGACAUGUAUUUUCUGCUUGCUUUUGUGUAUUUGUUUAACAGCAGAAUGACAGUGUUUGUGUAUCCCGGCCAGUAUGCAGUGACACUCAUAAUAACUGAUUUCUAAUUAUUACUACUAGCAUCAUCAUUGCUGUUUUGUGAGCACCAGCUACGUGCCAGGUACUUCCCCAACCUCAGGCCUGAGAGGAGCAUCCACCCUUGUGCUCUUGUCCUGGAUGCUGCCACUGGAAUACCAAAGGGCGUUUGUUUAAAAACAGACAAACAAAGCAACUCUGGAGUUCCCGGGUGGCUCAGGGGGUUGGGCAUCUGGCAUUGUCACUGCUAAGACGUGGGUCAUCACUGCAAUGUGGAUUCCAUCCCUGGCCCAGGAAUUUUUGUAUGCUGAAGGCACAACCAGAAAAAAAAAAAAUGAACUCUAAUUUUUCUUUCCAUUAUUUCAAAUGAUGACACUUAACUUGAAAAUGCAUUUUCAUACAGAUGAUCUCUCUUUUUUUUUAUGGCCAAACGCACAGCAUAUAGAAACUCCCCAGCCAGGAGUGAAUACAAGCCACGGCUGCAGUCUACGCCACCGCUGCGGCAAAGCCAGAUGCUUUAACCCACACUGCUUGCACCUCCACAGCAACCCAAGCCCCUGCAGUUAGGUUCUCAACCCACUGCACCACUUCGGGAACUCCUGGAUGAUCUCUUUCCUCCUUGGCCACAUGGUGGAGGAGAAGAGCAUGUGGUUUUCUGUCUUUUCAGGACUGUGAGUUCACACAAAGCAUUCAUUUCCACAGUGGCAUUGCUCCCUUCCCCCCUCCUCGACCUCAUUCCUUCCUCCCUCCUCUUUAGACAGUAUUAUCAUCAUUAUAAUUUCUACUAACUCACUUUACAGGUGAGAAAAUUGAGGUCUGGGAAAGCUCAUGUAGUUUCUCAGGUCACAGGACUGUUCAGUGGCUUGGACCAGAUUUUUCUGAUUUCUUCCCCAUGCUUUUCCCAUUAUGCCAGCUAAUAGGUUGUCAGUAGGUAUUUGUUGACUGAAUGUAUGAAGUAUGUGUGACAAUGC
RNAcentral lists this long non-coding RNA (5003 nucleotides) under Sus scrofa (pig). RNAcentral's name for it is "lncRNA (ENSSSCG00040044934.1)". Lineage: Eukaryota; Metazoa; Chordata; Mammalia; Artiodactyla; Suidae. The record is from RNAcentral.